RNAcentral lists this ribosomal RNA (406 nucleotides) under uncultured bacterium. RNAcentral's name for it is "partial 16S ribosomal RNA". It matches the Rfam family "Bacterial small subunit ribosomal RNA", at positions 29 to 526 of the family's 1533-position model. The record is from RNAcentral.
AUUGAACGCUGGCGGCAGGCCUAACACAUGCAAGUCGAACGAGUGGCGGACGGGUGAGUAAUGUCUGGGAAACUGCCCGAUGGAGGGGGAUAACUACUGGAAACGGUAGCUAAUACCGCAUACCAUCGGAUGUGCCCAGAGGGGAUUAGCUAGUAGGUGGGGUAACGGCUCACCUAGGCGACGAUCCCUAGCUGGUCUGAGAGGAUGACCAGCCACACCGGAACUGAGACACGGGCCAGACGCCUACGGGAGGCAGCAGUGGGGAAUAUUGCACAAUGGGCGCAAGCCUGAUGCAGCCAUGCCGCGUGUGUGAAGAGGGCCUUCGGGUUGUAAAGUACGUUCAGCGAGGAGGCGUUACUCGCAGAAGAAGCACCGGCUAACUCCGUGCCAGCAGCCGCGGUAAUUC